RNAcentral lists this ribosomal RNA (207 nucleotides) under uncultured bacterium. RNAcentral describes it as "partial 16S ribosomal RNA". It matches the Rfam family "Bacterial small subunit ribosomal RNA", at positions 568 to 774 of the family's 1533-position model. The record is from RNAcentral.
CGCGUAGGCGGCCAUCUUUGUCAGGCGUGAAAGCCCCGGGCUCAACCUGGGAAUUGCGUCUGGGACGGGGUGGCUAGAGAUCGGGAGAGGAGCGUGGAAUUCCCAGUGUAGAGGUGAAAUUCGUAGAUAUUGGGAAGAACACCGGUGGCGAAGGCGGCGCUCUGGACCGAUACUGACGCUGAGGCGCGAAAGCGUGGGGAGCAAACA